RNAcentral lists this ribosomal RNA (476 nucleotides) under uncultured bacterium. Its description in RNAcentral is "bacterial SSU rRNA". It matches the Rfam family "Bacterial small subunit ribosomal RNA", at positions 8 to 483 of the family's 1533-position model. The record is from RNAcentral.
AGAGUUUGAUCCUGGCUCAGAACGAACGCUGGCGGCGUGCUUAAUACAUGCAAGUCGAACGUGAUUCCGUAGCAAUACGGAUGAAAGUGGCGAACGGGUGAGUAACACGUAAGUAAUCUGCCUCCAGGAUCGGGAUAACCCUGCCAACGCGGGGCUAAUACCGGAUGUGGUCCAGCAGACACAUGUUUGCUGGAUUAAAGGUCGCGAGACCGCUUGGAGAUGAGCUUGCGGCCCAUUAGCUAGUUGGUGAGGUAACGGCUCACCAAGGCUCGGAUNGGUAGCCGGCCUGAGAGGGUGUACGGCCACAUUGGGACUGAGAUACGGCCCAGACUCCUACGGGAGGCAGCAGUAGGGAAUUUUGCGCAAUGGACGAAAGUCUGACGCAGCAACGCCGCGUGAAGGAUGACUGCCUUCGGGUUGUAAACUUCUGUUGGAUGGGAAAAAAAGCCACGUAAGUGGAAUUGAUGGUACCAUUC